Molecule: long non-coding RNA, 315 nt
Organism: Ornithodoros turicata
Lineage: Eukaryota; Metazoa; Arthropoda; Arachnida; Ixodida; Argasidae
Exons: 4
Source: RefSeq, a predicted model, not a curated record
CUGGUUUCGCUUACUAACUUCUAGUUUUCUGACACAGAAAGUUCCAUAUGAGAGGCGUUUCUGAAGAUCAGGAGUAGAGAUCACAAAACGAAAAACUUGGUGUCAGUAACAUGUCUUGAGGAGCUAAUCAGAGUUGCUGUGGGUCAUCGAAUUUGUCAGGAAGGCGACAUACAGGUGUAUUUAGUGGAUGAGUUAUCACUUCGCUGUAUGGUUGCUGGUGCUGAGAAAUGCCUCGAUGACAUUUUCAUUGUUAAAAAUGGACUAUGGAAACAAGAUCAGUCAACAUGUGUGAGUGCACCUUCACCAAUCCCACAA